UCUCGAUCUCCUGACCUCGUGAUUUGCCCGCCUCGGCUUCCCAGAGUGCUGGGAUUACAGGCGUGAGCCACCGCGCCUGGCCACCCAGCUAAGUUUUGUAUUUUUGUUGGAGACGGGGUUUCACCAUAUUGGCCAGACUGGUCUCAAACUCCUGGGGUCAAAUGAUCCGCCUGCGUCGGCUUCCCAGAGUGCUGGGAUUACAGGUGUCAGCCACUGUGCUCAGCUGGGAGAUGAAUUUUCAUUUAAUGACUUAACGUUUUGUUAGCACAGGUUUUGUGUGUGUGUGUGUGUGUGUGUGUGUUUUGUUUUUUGUUUUGUGUUUUUGAAACGGAGUUUUGCUCUUGUCACCCAGGCUGGAGUGCAAUGGCACCAUCUUGGCUCACUGCAACCUCUGCUUCCUGGGUUCAAGUGAUUCUCUUGCCUUAGCCUCCGGAGCAGCUGGGAUUAUAGGCGUCCACCACCACGCCCAGCUAAUUUUUGUAUUUUUAGUAGAAAUGGGGUUUCACCAUGUGUGGCCAGGCUGGUCUCGAACUCCUGACCUGAAGUGAUCCACCCGCCUCGACCUCCCAAAGUGCUGGGAUGACAGGCAUGAGCCACUGCACCCAGCCAACACAGAUGUUUAUUGAUCUUGGAGGAUACAUUGUGGAAAAUGUUUUUCUCUCUUUUACCAUUUUUGGGAAGAGGGAUAGGUAAGUGCAGGGAGUUUGUGCUGAAACAGUGCCUGGCAAUUUUUCAGAAAUGAAUUUGAUAUUGCGCUCCACCUUUGAGCUGUUCACACCUGUGGCUACCCCUGGAAAGCGCUGGGGUUGUUGAUGCUUUUGGCUGCCCGGCUUCCUGAGGUCUCGCUGCUUUCUGGGGAAAGAUGACUGGCUUCCAUGUGGGAAGCUUUUGUCUGACAUGUGAUGAUGUGGUCCUGCCUGCCACUGUGCACCAUCCCAGAGUUUUGGAAGAAACACAGAAAACAUGAGCAGAAUGAGACAAUUCCUUGGGCUGUAGUUUGGACCCAACUGAAUCCUGAGUGCUCUGUGGCUGACGCUGUCUACCUGUGGGAGAGACACACUCAGGAGUGGCCGUUUGGCCAGAAAAGAAGGUCAUGGCCCCUGGCCUGGACCCCGCCCUGCAGGGACACAGAAGCCACACCAUUUGCACCAUCCACGCCUUGCUCCAGAAGGCCUGGCCGCCUUCUCCCUGGGGGUGACUCAGGGAUCUGGUCUCAGACCAGACCCCCCUCCACAGCUGCCCGGUCCCAGACCCAUCUCUUGGAUUGAGAGUGUGUGGGCUGGACCCAGUGGGUCACUGUGGCAGCUUCAUCUGAGCUGAAGGUGUGGGUCCUCAGUGGCUGUGCGAUUGACCUCGAUGGGAAGGAGCGUUCUGCCCAUUUUCCUUGUUUUCAGUGCCACGGUGUCAGUCAGUGAUCUGAGGAAAUCCUGUAGGGGAAGGCAGGCUGCAGUGAAAACAGGAGCUGGUGAAACCGAGCCCUCUGCAUCUGCGAACGUGCCCUAGGUGCUGCUGCUGGGGACGUGGAUGCCGAGCGGAGGCCUGCGUGGCCUCCUGAGCAGCAGCAGCUGACCACCCGUCUCAUGCUGGACGGGACCCCUGGGCGGGUGGACGUGAGACCGCUGUUGGCCAGGGACGCCGCGCGGAGGCCUACGUGGCUGCCUGAGCAGCAGCUGACUGCCCGUCUCACUGUUGGCCAGGGCUUUGUGGCGUGGGUGUUUUCCAGUCUGCCUGGAGCAGCGAGAAGCAGCUGUGCGGACUGGUGGCGGUGGGAGGGUUUGCUGGGACUGAUGGGGACACCGGCCAGCUUGUCUUCUGUCCAGCAGCCCUGUCGGACUUGGCCUCCUGUCCUGUCGUUGGGAGCCCUGGCUGGGGCUGCUUUGAGCAAUGACGCUGGCCCAGAGCAGCUUCCCACAUGACCCCAGAGCCGAGGGUCUGCCCUGUCCUAGGUUAGGUCCCAUGGUUUAGAAUAAAAUCGUGAGGGAUGUUAAUUAUGGGCAUUGAAGACUUAAGGUUUUCCUAAAUUUUUAGUGAGCAGUGAUUGGCCUUCAAUACUUGUGCUGAGAGGAAUUUUAAGCCAGGGGAAGUGUAAGAAAAUGUUCCCAUUCAGGAGUUUCUUUCUUCCUCUGUAUGUAUUUUGUGGUGUCCACCUUUAACCACGUUUCAUCCAAAACGAUGAUGCAGCUUUAACAUGAAUGUUACAUUUUUAUUUUCAAGGAAUUAUUAUCUAUGUUCCCUUUGUAAAGGAAACAUAAUGUUGUAAAUCUUUUUAUUAGAUAAUGUAAAGAUGU
This 2288-nucleotide long non-coding RNA is filed under the name Pan troglodytes (chimpanzee). Its description in RNAcentral is "long non-coding RNA NONPTRT011014". Lineage: Eukaryota; Metazoa; Chordata; Mammalia; Primates; Hominidae. The record is from RNAcentral.